UGGAAGGGGUGGAAGGUCGACGUCACACAGCCCUGGUGGCAGGUUUGAUCUCUGUUUUAAAAGGAGGAGAUGGGAGUCAGAAGGCAAAGGGUACUAUGCCCAGGGCCCCCAGCUGGAAGGAGCAGAUCCAUUUGCUUUCUCUGUCCUGCACUUUAGCUGUUUUUCUAAAAAGAAGCAUGUUCCCCUUCUGGGGAUCAGUCAUUCAUGGCCAUCACCCCAAAUCAGCAGUAGUUUGGCAGGGCUGGGAGGACUAGCUUCUGCAGACUGUCCCCAUUCAAGUUCUCGAACAGGGAAGAGAGCAGCUACCAAUAAUGGUUGAAAAAUUAACCAAGGAGGAAACACCCUUAGUUGAGGACUAACGUGGGGAGGGCCACUGCUGGGAUGGGGAUCUCCACUGGCUUCACUCGGAAUUCUGCCCUCCUCCACAUCUGAGCCACCUUUUCAGUAAGGCCUGCUUUCUCCAUCAUGUGCUGUUUGUAUUUCUUUUCCACAGCAGUCACUAUCUUUUCAUUAUUUCUUUUAAGCUUUCUAUCAGCUUGUGAGUGUGUAUGCAUGGUGAUAUGUGUGAAUGUGUGUGCAUAGUGAUGUGAGUAUGAGUGUGUAUGCAUGGUGAUGUGUGACUGACUGUAUGCAUGGUGUUAUGAGUGUGUGACUGUGUGUGCAUGAUGAUGUGAGUGUGUGUGGGGUGAUGUGUGUGUGUGCAUGAUGUGAGUGUGUGAGUGUGUGUGCAUGGUGAUGUGAGUGUGUGUGUGGGGUGAUGUGUGUGUGUGCACAAUGUGAGUGUGUGAGUGUGUGUGCAUGGUGAUGUGAGUGUGUGAAUGUGUGCAUAGUGAUGUGAGUAUGAGUGUGUAUGCAUGGUGCUGUGUGUGUACAUAAUGUGAGUGUAUGAAUGUGUGUGCAUGGUGAUGUAAGUGUGUGAAUAUGUGUGUAUGCACAUGGAGGCCAGAAGUUGAUGGAAGUGUCUUCCUCUAUUGCCUUCCUCUUUUUUUUUUUUUGUUUGCAAUAAAGUUUUUCUGUGAACCUAGAGCCCACCUGCCUACCAGUUUGAGCUCAACUGGCUGGUCACGACCCCAGCACCCUUCUUUCUUAGCAGCCCAGUGCUGGGGUUACAGAUGUGUGCCACUACUUAGCCUGUCCAUCUGCUGGGGAUCCAAGUGCAGUUCCUUAGGCUCCUGUAGCAAGCCCUUUACCUACUGUCUUAUGGUUUCUAUCGCUGUGGUGAAGCACCAUGACAAAAGUGAGCUGGAGACAAAGGGUUUAUUUACUGUGCACUUCCACAUCAUAGCUAAUCAUUGAAAGAUGUCAGGGCAGGAACUCAAACAAUGCAGGAACCUGGAGGCAGGAGCUGAUGGAGAAUCGUGGAGGACUCACUCACUGGCCUGCUUCUCAUGCUCACCCUGAUUUCUUACAGAACCCAGAGCCACCAGCCUGGGGUGGCACCACCCACAAAAGGCUGGACCUUUCCCAAUUAAUCACUAAUUAAGAGAACACCCGACAGGUUUGCCUACAGCCCAGUCUUAGAGAGGCAUUUUCUCAAUCGAGGCUCCCUCCUCUCUGAAGAUUCUAGCAUGUGUCAGGUUGGCAUAAAACUAGCCAGUUCACCUGCCUUACUCCUUCCCAGCCCCACUCACCGCCUGUCCAUAUACACUGUUGGGAUCUAAUUUCCAAAACCCAGUUUGCAUGUCCACUCUCCUAAGUCUAGUAGUCCACUCCCAGGAAGACUGACUAAGAAAUUGUUCCUAACCUUCCUUCUGGUUUACCAAAUCCUUCUAGAAAGAGUACAAACCAGUAAGAAAUCAAACAGGGAAUAAUCCACAGAAUAAAUGCUUAGAGAUAAAAACAUAUUUGUGUUUAGUUGAUUUUCCUAUCCCUUUCCCCAUAAUUUUGCAAAGGGACUGAUGAAGUCAGAUUUCAGUAAUUAUGUCCCAGUAGUCUCAGGUGGGAAAAUGUAAAAUGACUAAAAAGAGACCAGAAUUAGCCUGGGCUAGGCCUCAAGGCAUAGACAGCAGGAUGGUGAGAUACUGAAUAGCCUGUCCCAUACCUCCACAGGGGGCUGACCCUGAGAGACCCCUAGAGCCCUGGCCCGCCCCUCUCCCCAUUCCCAUCCAGGAAGGCUCUCUGGGAAGAAGGCAGGUCAGGAGCCUAAGUGACCUUUCACACCUCAGACAAGCUAAGUUUGUUUUCUGCCUUUCUGUCCAGGGCUCAGAUGGGGGGUGGGGAGGGUGGGGUGGGCCUUUUCUAUUCUCUUGGUACAAAUACCCCAGAGGAGCUGAAGUGGAGGGAGUAAAGGAUCUAUUUAUUUUGGCUCAGGAGGGACAAUGUAAGCAGAUGGUCUUUGAUGGGAUUAGCGGCGUAAUCUCUAAGACCCUGGUAAAUUGGAAAAUGAUCCAUUAUAUUCCAGAACCUUUGGCGGCUUCAGCUCCUGGGGAGGGAGGGGCAGGCCGAGGGGCACCUUGUUAGAACGGACCCCUCUGGGAGCAGCGGAAUCCUGCACUGGAGAACUAGGGAGGAGGGGGUCUUAGGCUCUUCCUGGCCCCUUAGCCUCACUUUUCUUCUGCAUGUGCUGGAUGGUCCUCAAAGCCAUCUCUGGCAGCUCAGGGUCUGGGGGUGGGGGUGGAAGGGAAGACAAUGCUAUUGCAUUUCUUGCCUUGGAGGAGAAGAACAUUCUUAGAAUUCAAAGUCUGUGUUCUCUGGUGCAUUUGCUGUAGCCCAAGCCCAUCUCCUUCUCCCAACAGCCCUCAGGGGAGAGCAUUGGCUACUGGGGCUGCAAUUGGGGAACCCAGGAAGAGAAGGGCCUGGAAGGUUUCCCCUCUAAACAGAUCCAGAAAUGGUGAGAUUGUGGGUGCUGAGGGACGUUAACUCACACAAGUUAUCUGUGGGCCCCAUUUCUGCCGCCUUCUACAGUUCACAGAGGAAGUUGGAUUACUGAAUUUCACUGAGGAGGCACUGGAAGGACCAGAGACAGACCUGCUGGGUGAUUUCCCUGAGGUCAUCCAGGGCUGCGGGAACCUCUGCCCAGACCCCGGGAGAGUGACCACGAGCCCGCCGCGGACGCAGCUCUCUCACCCAACAGCAAAGACCCGGAGGGCCCGGAGAGUUGCUCAGGUUUCAAGGAAAAUGAAAUGACCCAAUACUGGAGUCCAGGUUGCUCGGCUGCGGGCUGAAUCCCUGGGUGCUGCAGGAGAUCGACCUGCGGGGCCUGGGACACCGUCGGCGGAUCCGGACCCGGGGCAAGCUCGCAGAACCAGUCCCAGGGGCGGCUCACCCAGCCCUAACCUUGGGAUGGGGGCCCAGACCGACCGCGGGGGGCGCAGCGUCCGGGAGAACCUAGUCGCUGGAGACGAAAGCGUGGGAGCGGCUGCGCUCCGGGCCCCGGCGUCCUUAUCCCCAGACCAAGCCUCCCGGCCAUCACCCGAACACCGCGGGACGCCACGCAGCCGGCUGAGGGUUCAAGCCUUUGGCGCCCUUUCCGCGCGCCCCACCGCGCCCAGGGCUUGGGCGGCUAUUAGUGCUCUUCGUCCGAGCGAGGUGCAGCGAGCGAGCAAGCAACUAGGCUCCCGCCGCGCCCCAAGAGGUCCGCCCGUCCAGGGCAGGUGUAUCCCUGUCCCCUCUGCCCUUUCCAGCCGGGCUUCCUGCGUGGAAUUUUAACGCAAACGUGUCUCUGGUAGUCUUUCUUCUUGCUUCAUUUAGAAUUGUUGUCUCUUCUUUUAAUGUUUUAUUUCUUUCCAGGUAGAUGUUCUAGGGUUGGUUUUUUGUUUUUCUUUUUGUUUUUUUAAUCUGUUUCCCGGUGUCUGCCCACUCCCCCAAAUCUCUCUCUCAUCUCUUUCAUCCCCUUGCUCGCUGGUCAAGGCUCUUUGAUUUCUCUCUCCUCCCCACUUCAGGGACAGGACUCUCUUAGAGACCCACGUACCACCAUAUGGGUGUGGUGAGGAAGAGCAGGUCAACGAUGGACAACCUCUCACUCCCACAGACACUCAAGCUCGGUGCUCCCACAGUUCACUCUCCCACACAGGGCACCUGUGACCGGUCCACGUCACGCACUGUUCAUUUACAUGGACUUUGCUGAACUCAGAAGCUGAACCCAGCUGGGGGGGGGUCGGGAGGGAGCACACAGAGGGGCUUGCAGGCUAGUCUUCCUGGAACAGAGCUGUGCCUCCUCAGGGUGGGGGUCAGGGUGUCUUUAGGUCCACAAGCCCUUGCCCCUAUACCUGGGAGCUCCACAGCAAACUCAAGCCAACUUCCCACGCGUGACGCACACCCACACACCUCUAAUCAGAAUGUUACACGAAGCCCCAAACUGCACGCACAGAACUGUACACUCAAUAGGAUGCAUAUUCCCAUCAGUACACACAGGCUUGCACUGAGAAUGUACAUGAGCUGCGGACAGAUAAACAGAUAAACCUCACACCCAGGAAGGGGGCAUGUUUCUGUGUCAGGGUGACACUGGGUGCAUAACUUGGUAGGGACAUGGAUAGAACACCUACAUAUACCCACUCGGAUUCAUUUCUUCUGCAAAACUGGGACUGAGGUUGGAGAAGAGUGCCCAAACCUCAGAAGUGAAUAUUAUAACUAAAACAAUUCUGCUGCAUCAAACACAGCUGGCGUUUGACCAGGGUCCCCAAGAGGAGAUCUCUUUAUGUGAAAACAAGAGGUGCAUACGGUUCUAGGAACAAUAUGUACAGAUGUCUCGCUCCUGACACAUAGACAGAGAGAUAAAGAACAGGACAUCCUUGUGCAGCUUCAGGGUACCCAUAACAAGCUGCCAUGCUAGCUUUGCUUCUCGCUCCAGGAUGGAGGACGCUGGUGCCUUGGGAGCUGCGUGGUUAUGACAGUUUAUCAUUGGUUCUUGUAGAGGUAACACAAACCACCAACUGGGGGCAUUUGGGCUGCUUAGGGAGAGACUCUGGGGGUGAAGGGCUAUACCUCUGGGUCUCAGGUUCCAAAUGUCAGCGAGAGUGGUAGCCAGACAUGCCUGGCUAAUGUAUACAGACUAAAAAUGUAUGCAGCUGGUCCCAGGGACACAGGCACACAAAGGUCCUGCAGAAGACCAGCAGUGUGAGUUACUGAUGUCCACUCUAACUGCUCAGAGGAGCAGUGGGAGAAAAGAUGAGGGCACAAGAUAUUUACUUGCGUACACAGCUCCAGCUCCGGGAGUUUGUGGUUCAGUUAUAGGGGAGGGCUACGGAGAUGGGAGAGCAUACACAGAGAUAGAUACAGCAUACAUAGCACCUGUGUGGCGCCAGUGCGGGAAAGGCGUCCUUGGGUAAGUCACUUGAAUAGUGACUCUGGGUUUGUAAAGCACAGGACAUGCUUGGUGACAUUGCAACUCCGCUCUCUAGCUCCCUGACUGAACAGAAGGAAGGGCAAAGCAGAAGAAAGGAUCCUAAGAAACGAUCCUAUCCAACCUCUCUCCUGUGGGCUGGAAACCCAAAGGGGCUGGCUAACAACAGUCUGCAGGCGCUCUGUCCUGUCCUCCGCUGGGCUCCCGUGCCUCCCAGCUUUACUCGAGUUCCCUAGGAAGUUUGUCUUUCCUGACUCUGUUUUCCCAUCUUCCUGCCUCUGCCUCCUCAGCUCUCUCACUGAGCACAGCCACAGAGAACCUGCUGGAUGCAGGACUGAAGGCCAAUAGAGAUGCUCAAGGUGGCUGUGAAGUGACAAACCCUGUAGGAACGCAGGGUUUUUGUUUGUUUUGUUUUGUUUUGUUUUUCUGCACAGACAUCGGAAUAAAACCUGAGCUUGCUUCCUUCCAC
Molecule: long non-coding RNA, 5750 nt
Organism: Rattus norvegicus (Norway rat)
Lineage: Eukaryota; Metazoa; Chordata; Mammalia; Rodentia; Muridae
Source: RefSeq, a predicted model, not a curated record